Molecule: ribosomal RNA, 253 nt
Filed under: uncultured bacterium
Lineage: Bacteria
Description: partial 16S ribosomal RNA
Rfam family: Bacterial small subunit ribosomal RNA
Source: RNAcentral
UACGAAGGGGGCUAGCGUUGUUCGGAAUUACUGGGCGUAAAGCGCACGUAGGCGGAUUGUUUAGUUAGAGGUGAAAUCCCAGGGCUCAACCCUGGAACUGCCUUUAAUACUGGCAAUCUAGAGAUCGGAAGAGGUUAGUGGAAUUCCCAGUGUAGAGGUGAAAUUCGUAGAUAUUGGGAAGAACACCAGUGGCGAAGGCGGCUAACUGGUCCGAUACUGACGCUGAGGUGCGAAAGCGUGGGGAGCAAACAGG